Molecule: ribosomal RNA, 253 nt
Filed under: uncultured bacterium
Lineage: Bacteria
Description: partial 16S ribosomal RNA
Rfam family: Bacterial small subunit ribosomal RNA
Source: RNAcentral
UACGUAGGCAGCGAGCGUUGUUCGGAGUUACUGGGCGUAAAGGGUGUGUAGGCGGUUCUCUAAGUUUGGUGUGAAAUCUCCCGGCUCAACCGGGAGGGUGCGCCGAAAACUGGAGGGCUAGAGUGCGGGAAGGGAGAGUAGAAUUCCUGGUGUAGCGGUGAAAUGCGUAGAUAUCAGGAGGAAUACCGGUGGUGUAGACGGCUCUCUGGACCGCGACUGACGCUGAGACACGAAAGCGUGGGUAGCAAACAGG